RNAcentral lists this long non-coding RNA (365 nucleotides) under Homo sapiens (human). Its description in RNAcentral is "HSALNT0243764". Lineage: Eukaryota; Metazoa; Chordata; Mammalia; Primates; Hominidae. The record is from RNAcentral.
CUCUGGUCGCUGACUUUUGUGGGGCCCUCUCCCUGUCUGAUGCAGCCACUGUGUGUAAACAUGUAUAAACAUACCUCAAAUGCGGGGACCCCACUGGGACGGACACUCCAAUCUCAGGCGACUUUACUCCUCCUGAGGUGGCCAGGAGUGUCUCCAGGUCCUGACUGUCACAGAAGGCCUGAGCACCCCCUGGACUGGCUGGGCCUUGCUCACUUCAAGGCCUCCUCCUGAGUGAGGGUAGCAGGCGAGAUGACGGGGCUGGAUUCUUGGAUACAUAAGCCUUUUUUCUUUUUCUUUACCAAAAACCAACACUCACAUUCUGUCUCUUCCUUGCAUGAUGAAAGGGUGUUUUGCCAACAUUUCCC